GUGUGUUGAUGUGUUACUGAAGGGUGACACACCACUUCAAGGGGCAGCAGCAGCAAUAUCGGGAUCUACAGAGCGUGUUGAUGUGUUACUAAAGGCUGGAGCUGAUGUUAAUGCACAGAA
Molecule: long non-coding RNA, 120 nt
Filed under: Haliotis rubra (blacklip abalone)
Lineage: Eukaryota; Metazoa; Mollusca; Gastropoda; Lepetellida; Haliotidae
Description: uncharacterized LOC124283818, transcript variant X2
Source: RNAcentral